RNAcentral lists this ribosomal RNA (372 nucleotides) under Methylobacillus flagellatus. RNAcentral's name for it is "bacterial SSU rRNA". It matches the Rfam family "Bacterial small subunit ribosomal RNA", at positions 1160 to 1531 of the family's 1533-position model. Lineage: Bacteria; Pseudomonadati; Pseudomonadota; Betaproteobacteria; Nitrosomonadales; Methylophilaceae. The record is from RNAcentral.
UAACUGGAGGAAGGUGGGGAUGACGUCAAGUCCUCAUGGCCCUUAUGGCCAGGGCUUCACACGUAAUACAAUGGUCGGUACAGAGGGUAGCCAACCCGCGAGGGGGAGCCAAUCUCAGAAAGCCGAUCGUAGUCCGGAUUGCAGUCUGCAACUCGACUGCAUGAAGUCGGAAUCGCUAGUAAUCGCGGAUCAGCAUGUCGCGGUGAAUACGUUCCCGGGCCUUGUACACACCGCCCGUCACACCAUGGGAGUGGGUUUCACCAGAAGUAGGUAGCCUAACCGCAAGGAGGGCGCUUACCACGGUGGGAUUCAUGACUGGGGUGAAGUCGUAACAAGGUAGCCGUAUCGGAAGGUGCGGUUGGAUCACCUCCU